This 77-nucleotide small nucleolar RNA is filed under the name Phaseolus vulgaris (common bean). RNAcentral describes it as "snoRNA snoZ43". It matches the Rfam family "Small nucleolar RNA Z43". From Rfam's summary of the family: Z43 is a member of the C/D class of snoRNA which contain the C (UGAUGA) and D (CUGA) box motifs. Most of the members of the box C/D family function in directing site-specific 2'-O-methylation of substrate RNAs. The record is from Rfam by way of RNAcentral. Lineage: Eukaryota; Viridiplantae; Streptophyta; Magnoliopsida; Fabales; Fabaceae.
AGACUGUGAUGAUUUCUGUGUUGGCCAAAUCGGCCUUGCCGACUAAUCUGCUAUAUCACCACCCAGGUUCUGAGUCC